RNAcentral lists this ribosomal RNA (184 nucleotides) under uncultured Nitrospirota bacterium. RNAcentral's name for it is "uncultured Nitrospirae bacterium partial 16S ribosomal RNA". It matches the Rfam family "Bacterial small subunit ribosomal RNA", at positions 29 to 211 of the family's 1533-position model. Lineage: Bacteria; Pseudomonadati; Nitrospirota. The record is from RNAcentral.
AGUGAACGCUGGCGGCGUGCCUAACACAUGCAAGUCGAACGCGAAAGUCCCGCAAGGGAUGAGUAGAGUGGCAGACGGGUGAGUAAUGCAUAGGUAAUCUACCCUUGAGUGGGGGAUAACUCCGGGAAACCGGUGCUAAUCCCGCAUAAUUUCCGGAUGCACAAGCAUUCGGAUCAAAGGGGGG